RNAcentral lists this ribosomal RNA (492 nucleotides) under uncultured bacterium. RNAcentral's name for it is "partial 16S ribosomal RNA". It matches the Rfam family "Bacterial small subunit ribosomal RNA", at positions 29 to 507 of the family's 1533-position model. The record is from RNAcentral.
AGUGAACGCUGGCGGUAGGCCUAACACAUGCAAGUCGAACGGCAGCACAGUAAGAGCUUGCUCUUACGGGUGGCGAGUGGCGGACGGGUGAGGAAUACAUCGGAAUCUACUUUUUCGUGGGGGAUAACGUAGGGAAACUUACGCUAAUACCGCAUACGACCUACGGGUGAAAGCAGGGGAUCUUCGGACCUUGCGCGAUUGAAUGAGCCGAUGUCGGAUUAGCUAGUUGGCGGGGUAAAGGCCCACCAAGGCGACGAUCCGUAGCUGGUCUGAGAGGAUGGUAAGCCACACUGGAACGGAACCACGGUCCAGACUCCUACGGGAGGCAGCAGUGGGGAAUAUUGGACAAUGGGCGCAAGCCUGAUCCAGCCAUACCGCGUGGGUGAAGAAGGCCUUCGGGUUGUAAAGCCCUUUUGUUGGGAAAGAAAAGCAGCAGGUUAAUACCCCGCUGUUCUGACGGUACCCAAAGAAUAAGCACCGGCUAACUUCGUG